RNAcentral lists this long non-coding RNA (216 nucleotides) under Phoenix dactylifera (date palm). Its description in RNAcentral is "long non-coding RNA (PDAC_LNC016911)". The record is from RNAcentral. Lineage: Eukaryota; Viridiplantae; Streptophyta; Magnoliopsida; Arecales; Arecaceae.
CACGUGCUAGCAUGUUCAUCUUGCAAACAUGAUCUAAUCCAAUUAGACCCUUGAUCAAUUCCCUUGUGUGUGACCCAUUGGGUUCCUUAUCUUAGCCAGCAGUAGGUGCAGGUGCAAGUUGACCUAACCUGAUUAGAAUACCUCUAAUCCAAUUUAGGUUCAAUUUAGUGCUAAACCUGACUUAGCAAUCAGAACCUUUCUGAUGCUUUGAUCUAA